Molecule: non-coding RNA, 92 nt
Organism: Mycena crocata
Lineage: Eukaryota; Fungi; Basidiomycota; Agaricomycetes; Agaricales; Mycenaceae
Source: the annotation of a GenBank genome assembly
GCAUCAGUGGGGUAGUGGUAACCUGGGUCGUUGCCAGAACCGUGUAUCAUCUCUGAUUCGACCCGCCGGGGGUUCGAUUCCCUCCUGAUGCA